Molecule: ribosomal RNA, 446 nt
Filed under: uncultured bacterium
Lineage: Bacteria
Description: partial 16S ribosomal RNA
Rfam family: Bacterial small subunit ribosomal RNA
Source: RNAcentral
CCUACGGGAGGCUGCAGUCGAGAAUCAUUCACAAUGGGGGAAACCCUGAUGGUGCGACGCCGCGUGGGGGAAUGAAGGUCUUCGGAUUGUAAACCCCUGUCAUGUGGGAGCAAAUUAAAAAGAUAGUACCACAAGAGGAAGAGACGGCUAACUCUGUGCCAGCAGCCGCGGUAAUACAGAGGUCUCAAGCGUUGUUCGGAAUCACUGGGCGUAAGGCGUGCGUAGGCUGUUUCGUAAGUCGUGUGUGAAAGGCGCGGGCUCAACCCGCGGACGGCACAUGAUACUGCGAGACUAGAGUAAUGGAGGGGGAACCGGAAUUCUCGGUGUAGCAGUGAAAUGCGUAGAUAUCGAGAGGAACACUCGUGGCGAAGGCGGGUUCCUGGACAGUAACUGACGCUGAGGCACGAAGGCCAGGGGAGCGAAAGGGAUUAGAUACCCGAGUAGUC